AUGAAUCCGAAAAUUUCAGAUUUUGGUAUGGCAAGAAUUUUCGCUACAAACCAAAACCAAGCAAACACUACCAGGGUCAUUGGGACAUAUGGUUAUAUGUCGCCUGAAUAUGCGAUGGGAGGUGCUUUUUCUGUAAAAUCAGACACAUAUAGCUUCGGUGUUCUUCUCUUAGAGAUUGUCAGUGGCUUGAAGAUCAAUUCACCUCAGCUCAUAACAAACUUUUCUAGCCUUAUCACUUAUGUCAGCAUGGAGACUGUGGGAAGAUGGAAACGCCAUUGA
RNAcentral lists this ribosomal RNA (279 nucleotides) under Triticum aestivum (bread wheat). RNAcentral describes it as "partial small subunit ribosomal RNA". The record is from RNAcentral. Lineage: Eukaryota; Viridiplantae; Streptophyta; Magnoliopsida; Poales; Poaceae.